This 1735-nucleotide ribosomal RNA is filed under the name Shigella sonnei. Its description in RNAcentral is "partial 23S ribosomal RNA". It matches the Rfam family "Bacterial large subunit ribosomal RNA", at positions 444 to 2164 of the family's 2925-position model. The record is from RNAcentral. Lineage: Bacteria; Pseudomonadati; Pseudomonadota; Gammaproteobacteria; Enterobacterales; Enterobacteriaceae.
AUGGGGGGCCCAUCCUCCAAGGCUAAAUACUCCUGACUGACCGAUAGUGAACCAGUACCGUGAGGGAAAGGCGAAAAGAACCCCGGCGAGGGGAGUGAAAAAGAACCUGAAACCGUGUACGUACAAGCAGUGGGAGCACGCUUAGGCGUGUGACUGCGUACCUUUUGUAUAAUGGGUCAGCGACUUAUAUUCUGUAGCAAGGUUAACCGAAUAGGGGAGCCGAAGGGAAACCGAGUCUUAACUGGGCGUUAAGUUGCAGGGUAUAGACCCGAAACCCGGUGAUCUAGCCAUGGGCAGGUUGAAGGUUGGGUAACACUAACUGGAGGACCGAACCGACUAAUGUUGAAAAAUUAGCGGAUGACUUGUGGCUGGGGGUGAAAGGCCAAUCAAACCGGGAGAUAGCUGGUUCUCCCCGAAAGCUAUUUAGGUAGCGCCUCGUGAAUUCAUCUCCGGGGGUAGAGCACUGUUUCGGCAAGGGGGUCAUCCCGACUUACCAACCCGAUGCAAACUGCGAAUACCGGAGAAUGUUAUCACGGGAGACACACGGCGGGUGCUAACGUCCGUCGUGAAGAGGGAAACAACCCAGACCGCCAGCUAAGGUCCCAAAGUCAUGGUUAAGUGGGAAACGAUGUGGGAAGGCCCAGACAGCCAGGAUGUUGGCUUAGAAGCAGCCAUCAUUUAAAGAAAGCGUAAUAGCUCACUGGUCGAGUCGGCCUGCGCGGAAGAUGUAACGGGGCUAAACCAUGCACCGAAGCUGCGGCAGCGACGCUUAUGCGUUGUUGGGUAGGGGAGCGUUCUGUAAGCCUGCGAAGGUGUGCUGUGAGGCAUGCUGGAGGUAUCAGAAGUGCGAAUGCUGACAUAAGUAACGAUAAAGCGGGUGAAAAGCCCGCUCGCCGGAAGACCAAGGGUUCCUGUCCAACGUUAAUCGGGGCAGGGUGAGUCGACCCCUAAGGCGAGGCCGAAAGGCGUAGUCGAUGGGAAACAGGUUAAUAUUCCUGUACUUGGUGUUACUGCGAAGGGGGGACGGAGAAGGCUAUGUUGGCCGGGCGACGGUUGUCCCGGUUUAAGCGUGUAGGCUGGUUUUCCAGGCAAAUCCGGAAAAUCAAGGCUGAGGCGUGAUGACGAGGCACUACGGUGCUGAAGCAACAAAUGCCCUGCUUCCAGGAAAAGCCUCUAAGCAUCAGGUAACAUCAAAUCGUACCCCAAACCGACACAGGUGGUCAGGUAGAGAAUACCAAGGCGCUUGAGAGAACUCGGGUGAAGGAACUAGGCAAAAUGGUGCCGUAACUUCGGGAGAAGGCACGCUGAUAUGUAGGUGAAGUCCCUUGCGGAUGGAGCUGAAAUCAGUCGAAGAUACCAGCUGGCUGCAACUGUUUAUUAAAAACACAGCACUGUGCAAACACGAAAGUGGACGUAUACGGUGUGACGCCUGCCCGGUGCCGGAAGGUUAAUUGAUGGGGUCAGCGCAAGCGAAGCUCUUGAUCGAAGCCCCGGUAAACGGCGGCCGUAACUAUAACGGUCCUAAGGUAGCGAAAUUCCUUGUCGGGUAAGUUCCGACCUGCACGAAUGGCGUAAUGAUGGCCAGGCUGUCUCCACCCGAGACUCAGUGAAAUUGAACUCGCUGUGAAGAUGCAGUGUACCCGCGGCAAGACGGAAAGACCCCGUGAACCUUUACUAUAGCUUGACACUGAACAUUGAGCCUUGAUGUGUAGGAUAGGUGGGAGGCUUUGAAGUG